AUUGAACGCUGGCGGCAGGCCUAACACAUGCAAGUCGAGCGGAUGAAGGGAGCUUGCUCCUGGAUUCAGCGGCGGACGGGUGAGUAAUGCCUAGGAAUCUGCCUGGUAGUGGGGGAUAACGUCCGGUAACGGGCGCUAAUACCGCAUACGUCCUGAGGGAGAAAGUGGGGGUUCUUCGGACCUCACGCUAUCAGAUGAGCCUAGGUCGGAUUAGCUAGUUGGUGGGGUAAAGGCCUACCAAGGCGACGAUCCGUAACUGGUCUGAGAGGCUGAUCAGUCACACUGGAAUUGGGACACGGUCCAGACUCCUACGGGGGGCAGCAGUGGGGAAUAUUGGACAAUGGGCGAAAGCCUGAUCCAGCCAUGCCGCGUGUGUGAGGAAGGUCUUCGGAUUGUAAAGCUCUUUAAGUUGGGAGGAAGGGCAGUAAGUUAAUACCUUGCUGUUUUGACGUUACCUACAGAAUAAGCACCGGCUAACUUCGUG
Molecule: ribosomal RNA, 484 nt
Filed under: uncultured bacterium
Lineage: Bacteria
Description: partial 16S ribosomal RNA
Rfam family: Bacterial small subunit ribosomal RNA
Source: RNAcentral